AUACGGAGGGUGCAAGCGUUAAUCGGAAUUACUGGGCGUAAAGCGCGCGUAGGCGGUUUGUUAAGUUGGAUGUGAAAUCCCCGGGCUCAACCUGGGAACUGCAUUCAAAACUGGCAGGCUAGAGUAUGGUAGAGGUAAGUGGAAUUCCGGGUGUAGCGGUGAAAUGCGUAGAUAUCCGGAGGAACAUCAGUGGCGAAGGCGGCUUACUGGACCAAUACUGACGCUGAGGUGCGAAAGCGUGGGGAGCAAACAGGAUUAGAAACCCCGGUAGUCC
RNAcentral lists this ribosomal RNA (274 nucleotides) under uncultured bacterium. RNAcentral describes it as "partial 16S ribosomal RNA". It matches the Rfam family "Bacterial small subunit ribosomal RNA", at positions 523 to 796 of the family's 1533-position model. The record is from RNAcentral.